GUACACAUUUGGAGGAUGGUGGUAAAGGCCCAAGAGAUCAUAUUCGGGGCACAUGAUGAGACGCAUUGUGAGGAAGCCUCUGCAAUCUUCUUUUCAAACCAUCCACCAAGGAGAAUUGUCUCACCUCCACUUGUCUUCUGCUCUCCUCUGUCACUGUUCCCCACUCGUACCCUCCUUCCUCAUUGUCACCAUGAAACAAUUGGCAGAUGUAACAUUUAAUUAUGGCUGUAUCUCCUCGGGCGUUGUCGAAGCAGAGCCAAGCCAGUGCUGUUCAGAGAAAAAAAAAAGGAGGAGUUGCAUUACAAUUUGCUACGAAGUGAUUUAUUCGUCCAACAAGCUGGGGAGUUGGAGGAUGGGGGGGGAGGAACCAAACAGGAAAGGAUGAAGUAUGGCUGUGGCUAGUGUGGAAGCAGCACUGAUGGAGCAGAAAGAAGAGGGGGCAGUGGGCUCGGCAAUAAUAAAGUUGCAGAUUGGUAUCACAUUGUGACGGUUUAAUGGAGUCUUGCGGCUGAGGACUUCAUUUACAACAGGGUCUGGCCCUCGCAUCGCUGCAACUGUCACCGUGUCUGAUUUCUCUAUUCCAGACAGAGACCGUCGCAGUUGUUUGCUGUCGACGCAAACCAAUUUUUAAAAAGAGCAAAUGAA
Girardinichthys multiradiatus is the source of this 645-nucleotide long non-coding RNA. RefSeq lists it as uncharacterized. The record is from RefSeq and is a predicted model, not a curated record. The transcript has 3 exons. NCBI's taxonomy places the organism in Eukaryota, Metazoa, Chordata, Actinopteri, Cyprinodontiformes, Goodeidae.